AGAGUUUGAUCAUGGCUCAGGACGAACGCUGGCGGCGCGCCUAACACAUGCAAGUCGAACGAGCAAAGAGGAGUUUGCUUCUCUGAGCGAGUGGCGAACGGGUGAGUAACGCGUGAGGAACCUGCCUCAAAGAGGGGGACAACAGUUGGAAACGACUGCUAAUACCGCAUAAGCCCACGGGUCGGCAUCGACCAGAGGGAAAAGGAGCAAUCCGCUUUGAGAUGGCCUCGCGUCCGAUUAGCUAGUUGGUGAGGUAACGGCCUACCAAAGCAACGAUCAGUAGCCGGCCUGAGAGGGUGAACGGCCACAUUGGGACUGAGACACGGCCCAAACUCCUACGGGAGGCAGCA
Molecule: ribosomal RNA, 350 nt
Filed under: uncultured bacterium
Lineage: Bacteria
Description: bacterial SSU rRNA
Rfam family: Bacterial small subunit ribosomal RNA
Source: RNAcentral